GGACAGUUAGCUCAGUUGGUUAGUGUGUGGUACUGAUAACACCAAGAUUGUGGGUUGAAUCCCCAUAUGGGCCA
Non-coding RNA from Podarcis lilfordi (Lilford's wall lizard), 74 nucleotides. The record is from the annotation of a GenBank genome assembly. NCBI's taxonomy places the organism in Eukaryota, Metazoa, Chordata, Lepidosauria, Squamata, Lacertidae.